CCUACGGGGGGCUGCAGUGGGGAAUAUUGGACAAUGGGCGAAAGCCUGAUCCAGCCAUGCCGCGUGUGUGAAGAAGGCCUUCGGGUUGUAAAGCACUUUCAGUGGGGAAGAAAGCCUUGGGGCUAAUACCCUCGAGGAAGGACAUCACCCACAGAAGAAGCACCGGCUAACUCCGUGCCAGCAGCCGCGGUAAUACGGAGGGUGCGAGCGUUAAUCGGAAUUACUGGGCGUAAAGCGCGCGUAGGCGGUCUGAUAAGCCGGUUGUGAAAGCCCCGGGCUCAACCUGGGAACGGCAUCCGGAACUGUCAGGCUAGAGUGAAGGAGAGGAAGGUAGAAUUCCCGGUGUAGCGGUGAAAUGCGUAGAGAUCGGGAGGAAUACCAGUGGCGAAGGCGGCCUUCUGGACUGACACUGACGCUGAGGUGCGAAAGCGUGGGUAGCAAACAGGAUUAGAUACCCGGGUAGUC
This 465-nucleotide ribosomal RNA is filed under the name Vreelandella stevensii. RNAcentral's name for it is "partial 16S ribosomal RNA". It matches the Rfam family "Bacterial small subunit ribosomal RNA", at positions 338 to 795 of the family's 1533-position model. The record is from RNAcentral. Lineage: Bacteria; Pseudomonadati; Pseudomonadota; Gammaproteobacteria; Oceanospirillales; Halomonadaceae.